This 310-nucleotide long non-coding RNA is filed under the name Medicago truncatula (barrel medic). Its description in RNAcentral is "lncRNA gene43829". The record is from RNAcentral. Lineage: Eukaryota; Viridiplantae; Streptophyta; Magnoliopsida; Fabales; Fabaceae.
ACAAGCCUUCAUUAAUAGAUAUAUAGAAGGAUUUAUUUCAUAAGAUGCUUUCGGAGCCCAGAGAUUACCAAUGGCUUCAACAAUUGCAACUUUCAAAUCUCCGUUCUUUAUGAAAAUCAUAAGGCUUCACACUUCGAUAUUGUGAUAUCCAACUAGACAAACAAUGUUUAAGAGACAAAUUAGCAUAUUAAUGGUAACAAAUGGCCUCAGAGGUAGUGACAAUUAGCAUUUAUCAAUCACACAGCAGAUCUGGUAAUACGUGCAAGUAAUACAUCAUUGGCCAUCCGUACUAUUUAUCUUAAAAAUGAAU